This 851-nucleotide non-coding RNA is filed under the name Fukomys damarensis (Damara mole-rat). Its description in RNAcentral is "Bacterial large subunit ribosomal RNA". It matches the Rfam family "Bacterial large subunit ribosomal RNA", at positions 568 to 2044 of the family's 2925-position model. Lineage: Eukaryota; Metazoa; Chordata; Mammalia; Rodentia; Bathyergidae. The record is from Rfam by way of RNAcentral.
AAGCAUAGAUUAAAACUACUACCUCUUGUACAAUGAAUCAACUAGAAAUAUCUUUAUAAGAAGAAUUGAAGCUAAUUACCCCGAAACCAGACAAGCUACCUUUGAACAGCUAAACUGAGCCAACCCGUCUAUGUAGCAGAAUAGUGGGAAGAUUCAACGGUAGAGGUGAAAAGCCUAUCGAGUUUGGUGAUAGCUGAUUAUCCAAACAGGAAUAUUAAUUUAACUUUAAGUAUUUUAAAAAAACAAUAAUUCAUCAUGAAAACUUAAAUGUUAAUUUAUAGAGGGACAGCUCUAUAAAAAAGGAAUAAGCCUUUAACAGAGGGUAAAUAAAUUAACAUAUCAUAGUUGGCCUAAAAGCAGUCCUCAAUUAAGAAAGUGUUCAAACUCAACAAACCACACCACUACUAAUUCCUAUAACAAUUACUGAACCCCUGAAUGUGAUAUUGAAUAAAUCUAUUAAAUUAUAGAAGAAAUAAUAUUGAUAUUAGUAAUGAGAACUACUUCUCCACUCACAAGUUUAUAUCUAAUCGGAUAACCACUGAUAGUUAUGAGCCAAAAUAACCUUAUUAAUUAUUUCAUUCAAUCUAUUGUUAAUCCGACACAGGAGUGCUCAAAAGCAAAGACUAAAAAAGAUGAAAGGAACUCGGCAAACACAAAUCCCGCCUGUUUACCAAAAACAUCACCUCUAGAAUAAUAAGUAUUAGAGGCACUGCCUGCCCAGUGAUAUAAUUUUAACGGCUGCGGUAUCCUGACCGUGCAAAGGCAGUGUAAUCACUUAUAUCUUAAAUAGGGACUUGUAUGAAUGGCUAGAUGAGGAUUUUUCUGUCUCUUAUCUUUGGUCAGUGAAAUUG